RNAcentral lists this ribosomal RNA (916 nucleotides) under uncultured bacterium. Its description in RNAcentral is "bacterial SSU rRNA". It matches the Rfam family "Bacterial small subunit ribosomal RNA", at positions 33 to 930 of the family's 1533-position model. The record is from RNAcentral.
ACGCUGGCGGCGUGCCUAAUACAUGCAAGUCGAACGAGAGCGACCGGUGCUUGCACUGGUCAAUCUAGUGGCGAACGGGUGAGUAACACGUGGGUAACCUGCCCAUCAGAGGGGGAUAACAUUCGGAAACGGAUGCUAAAACCGCAUAGGUUCUUGAGUCGCAUGAUUCGAGAAGGAAAAGAGGCUUCGGCUUCUGCUGAUGGAUGGACCCGCGGUGCAUUAGCUAGUUGGUGAGGUACGGCUCACCAAGGCCGUGAUGCAUAGCCGACCUGAGAGGGUGAUCGGCCACAUUGGGACUGAGACACGGCCCAAACUCCUACGGGAGGCAGCAGUAGGGAAUCUUCCGCAAUGGACGCAAGUCUGACGGAGCAACGCCGCGUGAGUGAAGAAGGAUUUCGGUUCGUAAAACUCUGUUGUUAGAGAAGAACAGCGCAUAGAGUAACUGUUAUGCGUGUGCCGGUAUCUAACCAGAAAGCCACGGCUAACUACGUGCCAGCAGCCGCGGUAAUACGUAGGUGGCAAGCGUUGUCCUGAUUUAUUGGGCGUAAAGCGAGCGCAGGCGGUCAAUUAAGUCUGAUGUGAAAGCCCCCGGCUCAACCGGGGAGGGUCAUUGGAAACUGGUUGACUUGAGUGCAGAAGAGGAGAGUGGAAUUCCAUGUGUAGCGGUGAAAUGCGUAGAUAUAUGGAGGAACACCAGUGGCGAAGGCGACUCUCUGGUCUGUAACUGACGCUGAGGCUCGAAAGCGUGGGUAGCAAACAGGAUUAGAUACCCUGGUAGUCCACGCCGUAAACGAUGAGUGCUAAGUGUUGGAGGGUUUCCGCCCUUCAGUGCUGCAGUUAACGCAUUAAGCACUCCGCCUGGGGAGUACGACCGCAAGGUUGAAACUCAAAGGAAUUGACGGGGACCCGCACAAGC